RNAcentral lists this ribosomal RNA (465 nucleotides) under uncultured bacterium. RNAcentral describes it as "partial 16S ribosomal RNA". It matches the Rfam family "Bacterial small subunit ribosomal RNA", at positions 28 to 507 of the family's 1533-position model. The record is from RNAcentral.
GAUGAACGCUGGCGGCGUGCUUAAUACAUGCAAGUCGAACGGACAGGCCCCUUUCUUGGUACUCUGGCGGUGAACGCGUGAGUAACACGAGCGCAACCUUCCCCUGCCUUUGGGAUAACUUCAGCUUACUGGGGCCAAUACCGAUUACGAAUCCUUGCUUAAAGGUGGUGGUUGGAAAGCUUCGGGGGGUUUUGCUGGCCUUGCGACUUAUCAGCUUGCUGGAGGGGUUGUGGCUUACCAAGCCUUCGACGCGAAGCGGGCCUGCGUGGGCGACCUGCCACACUGACACUGAGAGACGGCACAGACUGCGAAGGGUGGCAGCAGGGGGGAAUCUUGCACGAUGAGCGGAAGGCUAGUGCAGCAGCGCCUCGGGCGGGAUAACGCCCUUCGGGUGGUAAACCGCUUUCGGCAGGAGCGAAGCUUGUGGUGACGGUACCUGCAGAAGAAGCACCGGCUAACUACGUG